RNAcentral lists this transfer RNA (76 nucleotides) under Candidatus Cloacimonadota bacterium. Its description in RNAcentral is "tRNA-Val". It matches the Rfam family "tRNA". From Rfam's summary of the family: Transfer RNA (tRNA) molecules are approximately 80 nucleotides in length. The record is from RNAcentral. Lineage: Bacteria; Pseudomonadati; Candidatus Cloacimonadota. RNAcentral also lists the same sequence under 1 other name.
GGGCGUUUAGCUCAGUUGGAAGAGCCCCUGCUUUACACGCAGGUGGUCGGGGGUUCAAGUCCCUCAGCGCCCACCA